This 444-nucleotide ribosomal RNA is filed under the name uncultured archaeon. Its description in RNAcentral is "bacterial SSU rRNA". It matches the Rfam family "Archaeal small subunit ribosomal RNA", at positions 85 to 531 of the family's 1478-position model. The record is from RNAcentral.
ACUGCUCAGUAACACGUAGUCAACAUGCCCAGGGGACGUGGAUAACCUCGGGAAACUGAGGAUAAACCGCGAUAGGCCAUAAUUCCUGGAAUGGUUUAUGACUGAAACCUAUAUGGCCCCUGGAUUGGACUGCGGCCGAUCAGGCUGUUGGUGAGGUAAUGGCCCACCAAACCUGUAACUGGUACGGGCUCUGAGAGGAGAAGCCCGGAGAUGGGCACUGAGACAAGGGCCCAGGCCCUAUGGGGCGCAGCAGGCGCGAAACCUCUGCAAUAGGCGAAAGCCUGACAGGGUUACUCUGAGUGGUUCCCGCUAAGGGGAUCUUUUGGCACCUCUAAAAAUGGUGCAGAAUAAGGGGUGGGCAAGCCUGGUGUCAGCCGCCGCGGUAAUACCAGCACCCCGAGUGGUCGGGACGAUUAUUGGGCCUAAAGCAUCCGUAGCCGGUCA